RNAcentral lists this transfer RNA (85 nucleotides) under Felis catus (domestic cat). It matches the Rfam family "tRNA". From Rfam's summary of the family: Transfer RNA (tRNA) molecules are approximately 80 nucleotides in length. Their secondary structure includes four short double-helical elements and three loops (D, anti-codon, and T loops). The record is from Rfam by way of RNAcentral. Lineage: Eukaryota; Metazoa; Chordata; Mammalia; Carnivora; Felidae.
GCCUGGCUGGCUCAAUUGGUUAAGUGUCUGACUUCAGUUCAGGUCACGAUCUCACAGUUUGUGGGUUCCAGCCCCGCGUCGGGCU